GCUAGUAAUGGCAGGUCAGCAUACUGCCGUGAAUACGUUCCCGGGCCUUGUACACACCGCCCGUCACACCAUGAGAGUUGGGGAUACCCGAAGCCUGUGAGCCAACAGUUAAAUGAGGCAGCAGUCGAAGGUAGAAUCAAUGAUUGGGGUGAAGUCGUAACAAGGUAUC
RNAcentral lists this ribosomal RNA (169 nucleotides) under uncultured bacterium. RNAcentral's name for it is "partial 16S ribosomal RNA". It matches the Rfam family "Bacterial small subunit ribosomal RNA", at positions 1334 to 1500 of the family's 1533-position model. The record is from RNAcentral.